AGGCCAUGUAGCGGGGCUUCAGCGCGCCGGCGCCAACGCCGCCGGCAAUGGCGCGCCGGACGGUUCGCGAUCGCCCAGGGUAUU
Molecule: transfer RNA, 84 nt
Filed under: Bordetella bronchiseptica 00-P-2730
Lineage: Bacteria; Pseudomonadati; Pseudomonadota; Betaproteobacteria; Burkholderiales; Alcaligenaceae
Description: tRNA-Val
Source: RNAcentral